Molecule: ribosomal RNA, 496 nt
Filed under: uncultured bacterium
Lineage: Bacteria
Description: partial 16S ribosomal RNA
Rfam family: Bacterial small subunit ribosomal RNA
Source: RNAcentral
AUGAACGCUGGCGGUGUGCCUAAUACAUGCAAGUCGCGCGAACAGACGAGGAGCUUGCUCCUCUGACGUUAGCGGCGGACGGGUGAGUAACACGUGGAUAACCUACCUAUAAGACUGGGAUAACUUCGGGAAACCGGAGCUAAUACCGGAUAAUAUAUUGAACCGCAUGGUUCAAUAGUGAAAGACGGUUUUGCUGUCACUUAUAGAUGGAUCCGCGCCGCAUUAGCUAGUUGGUAAGGUAACGGCUUACCAAGGCAACGAUGCGUAGCCGACCUGAGAGGGUGAUCAGCCACACGGGAACUGAGACACGGUCCAGACUCCUACGGGAGGCAGCAGUAGGGAAUCUUCCGCAAUGGGCGAAAGCCUGACGGAGCAACGCCGCGUGAGUGAUGAAGGUCUUCGGAUCGUAAAACUCUGUUAUUAGGGAAGAACAAAUGUGUAAGUAACUAUGCACGUCUUGACGGUACCUAAUCAGAAAGCCACGGCUAACUACGUG